UGCUAGGAGGGAGGGAGGGAGCCAGCACCAGCCCUGGGGCGGGGGCGAAACCUGAAACCGCUCACUGAGGAGGCUCGGCCGCCCAGGGGCCCCGUGGGGGCGGGGAGAAUCCUCUUGCCUGCCUUCACUGCCCUUGACCGCCCCUCGCACCACGAGGUUCUCCGUAACCUGUUUUUCUAGCUACCGAAUGUUUUGCUUCAUCUUGUUUUCUUAAGGACACUGGGCCCAGAGCGCUUGCCGACAUCACCAAGUCAUACAGAGAGAGGCAGAGACAAGGCAGAGACAUAGGCAGAGGGAGAAGCAGGCUCCAUGCACCGGGAGCCCGACGUGGGAUUCGAUCCCGGGUUUCCAGGAUCGCGCCCUGGGCCAAAGGCAGGCGCCAAACCGCUGCGCCACCCAGGGAUCCCUCUGAGAAAUUUAAGUAAAAAGUGAGAGCUCUCAAUUACCACCCACCACGAAUCUUUCCAGGCGAUUUCCAGUCUUUCCAAGAGCAAGAACCUUUCCGUGUGAGCUCAGAGAAGCAGGGACUUUCCUAGAAGUGGAAAUCCCGGUUGGAGUGGACGGGUGCAUGUGGACAGAGCGCCAAGUGGCCCGCGGAGCCCUUGCCAGCCCACGCCCAACGGCCCCGUCAGCAUGGGGGACCUGCCUGCUCUCUGUUCCUCUGGCUGCACACACCGUGGGAGCUCAACAAACACUCGCGGUCUUGGGGAGGAGGGAGCGCGAAGCCAUGACAUUCACGGUAGAAAGGUGCCACGGGGCAGGAGGGGCGGCCUGGGGGGACAGAGCCUGAGUUACCCUGGGGGCGGGCGACGAGGUCAGCUCUUCUGGUGGCCGAUAUGGGAGCCACUAGCGAGGGUGGGUUUGGGCGCCUGCGGUCUUCCUGGCAGAGGUGUCAGGCUGCCCUGUAGCCUCGUGGGCCUGGGGCUGGAGAGGGCCGACCUGGAACACGCGUGGGAGCGUCACAGACUCCACCAGACACUGCGGUGAGGAUGGAGGCAGCAGGCCAGCUCUGGAGGGACAGCGAGGGAGGGGUGGGCAGAGGCCCCGGGCAGCCGGACCCGCCCCCCAACCUGCCCCAACACUGUCGCCAGUGUCCUCUUCCCCAAACUCAAGGGUGAUGGUACCACCCAACCCUCCAAUAAAGAAAAAUCAAAUCAAAGUGCCUUGUCUCUGCGAGUUUGUAACCCAGGCAAGCGGAGGUAAAUGAGCCCCAGGGAGAUGCCUGGACCCGGGCUCCCGGCGUAGUUCCCAGCGCCCUUGCUGCCUCCCCGACCCCCGCUGGGUGGGGUGUCCUCCGGCCCCGGGCGCCACAGCUCGGGGGCCUCGGGUGUGACCCCGUGUGACCCCGUGCGCUCCCGGGCCGGCGGCUCCCGCUCCCCCCACCCGCUGUUCGCUCCGCGGCCGGCUGCGGGGGCUCGAGCGCCCGGGGCGUGGGCGUCUCCUCCAUCCCGCGCCCGGUGCCCCCGCCUUGCCGCCGCUUUCCGCGGAGGGCGUGCGCUCGAGGCUUCACUCCGCCCGAUGGGGCUUCCGAGCGCCGAGCCCCGGGCCCGC
Nyctereutes procyonoides (raccoon dog) is the source of this 1551-nucleotide long non-coding RNA. RefSeq lists it as uncharacterized. Lineage: Eukaryota; Metazoa; Chordata; Mammalia; Carnivora; Canidae. The transcript has 5 exons. The record is from RefSeq and is a predicted model, not a curated record.